AGGAAUGUAGUUCAGUGGUAGAAUCUCUGCUUUGCAUGCAGAAGAUCCAUGUUCAAGUCCCAGCGUUUCUC
This 71-nucleotide transfer RNA is filed under the name Sphaerodactylus townsendi. Its description in RNAcentral is "tRNA-Ala". It matches the Rfam family "tRNA". Rfam says of the family: Transfer RNA (tRNA) molecules are approximately 80 nucleotides in length. The record is from RNAcentral. Lineage: Eukaryota; Metazoa; Chordata; Lepidosauria; Squamata; Sphaerodactylidae.